RNA transcript from Cyprinodon variegatus (sheepshead minnow), 1411 nucleotides. It is a transcript of the gene named ectodysplasin-A receptor-associated adapter protein-like, with no coding region annotated. The transcript is spliced from 7 exons. NCBI's taxonomy places the organism in Eukaryota, Metazoa, Chordata, Actinopteri, Cyprinodontiformes, Cyprinodontidae. The record is from RefSeq and is a predicted model, not a curated record.
GUGAGACGCCGCCGCUCGGCUGGCUCGGCUGAACUAACCCGGAGUGUUUGGACGGUUCUUCACUCUGAGAGCAGAGCUGAAUUCCUCCUUCUCUCUGUCUUUGAGACACUUUAAAGAUGAGCAGUUUAAUGGCCUAUAAGGAGCCCUUCGACAGAAGCAAUCCUGAGCCUGUUGAGGACACAGACACCACCAGCUUUAUGGCGGAAAUUUCCCUGGAGGCCAAUUAUCCCGUCCAAGUCACAGAUCCUCAUGACGCUGUGACACUACACCUCAGCUCCAUGCCCUCCGGAUACCUGCAGCGCUCCUCGCAGGACAAGAUCAGACAGCCAGUCGAAGAUCUGGAAGACUGCUCUUGCCCUUCAUCUACUUCACCAGACUGCCCCAAACAGCUGCAGCUCCUCCGCAGUCCUUGUGAAAAGUGCUGCUGCCCAGCACCUCCACCAAAGAUCAGUGACCUCAUGAACGACAAAGACCUGCUGGACUUACUGCGCUUGAAGCUGGACCCAAACCACUGCACGGUUAAAAACUGGAAGAACUUUGCGAGCCGUUGGGGAAUGAGCUACGACGAACUCACCCUGCUGGAGCACCGGACCCAGGGCUCCUUGUCUCACAGCCCCACUCAAGAGUUCCUGCUGCGCUACAACCAGAAGACGGUGACCGAGCUCACCGAACUGUGCCGCAUCUAUCAGCGCAUUGACGUGCUGCGGCUGCUUCAGAGCUGGAUAGAGAAGGACUGGCCGUCACGCUGGCAGCAGACUCACUAAUCACAUGGAAAUGUGGAUUUAUCUGUUGGGUUUUUUCUGUUCAUGUUCAAGAUUUCUUUUACAUUUCUGGAUCCAAGCUUUUGUAGGUAGCUGUUUAGUAAACUUUUGAACAGAAAACCUUUUAAAGAAUGAAAGAUAUCGAGAAGAAACAGCAAUUCUAAAACCUUGAUCAUCAAAGGUAAACAGAUAACCUUAGAAAUAACAUGGAACUUAAAUUUCCCUUUUGUUCUCUAGACAUCUGCAGUGCUGUGAUGUUUCACAUCCAAUGUAAAGAUAAAAACAAACACGUGAAGCACAUUCAAAGCAUUGUACAGAAGCUCUAUGCAAUGGUGAUAUAAAUAAGGACGGUAAUGGAUGAGCUGCUGACUUGUUCCGUAUCACUUGACUUACGACUGAUUUCUCUUUUCUGUGAAACACGAUUGUUGAAAAUAUUUUUUUUCUCAUUUAAAUACCAGACUUGUUUUUUUGUUGUCUGCAUGUUCACCUCAAAGUAAGAUGUUCCUACCUAUGGAGAGAAUUUUGUUCCAGGAUUAUUGAAAAUGACAAAAUGCAUAACAAAAAAGAUGUUUCAGACAGAAUGAAUCAAAAAUGAAGCUUUGAAAAAUGUUUAAUCCAAAGUAAAAUACUAUGGAAGCAUAUUGAAUUCA